RNAcentral lists this ribosomal RNA (428 nucleotides) under uncultured Acidobacterium sp. RNAcentral describes it as "bacterial SSU rRNA". It matches the Rfam family "Bacterial small subunit ribosomal RNA", at positions 958 to 1385 of the family's 1533-position model. Lineage: Bacteria; Pseudomonadati; Acidobacteriota; Terriglobia; Terriglobales; Acidobacteriaceae. The record is from RNAcentral.
AACGCGAAGAACCUUACCUGGGCUCGAACGGCUUCGGACAAUCCUUGGAAACAGGGACUUCCCGCAAGGGACUGGAGUCGAGGUGCUGCAUGGCUGUCGUCAGCUCGUGUCGUGAGAUGUUGGGUUAAGUCCCGCAACGAGCGCAACCCUUGUCCUGUGUUGGCAUGCCGUAAGGCGCAACUCUCAGGAGACCGCCAGCGAUAAGUUGGAGGAAGGUGGGGAUGACGUCAAGUCAUCAUGGCCUUUAUGUCCAGGGCCACACACGUGCUACAAUGGGCGGUACAAAGCGCUGCCAACCCGCGAGGGGGAGCUAAUCGCCAAAAACCGUCCUCAGUUCGGAUUGCAGGCUGCAACUCGCCUGCAUGAAGCUGGAAUCGCUAGUAAUGCUAUAUCAGAACGAUAGCGUGAAUACGUUCCCGGGCCUUGUA